RNAcentral lists this transfer RNA (66 nucleotides) under Microhyla pulchra. RNAcentral's name for it is "tRNA-Trp". It matches the Rfam family "tRNA". Rfam says of the family: Transfer RNA (tRNA) molecules are approximately 80 nucleotides in length. Lineage: Eukaryota; Metazoa; Chordata; Amphibia; Anura; Microhylidae. The record is from RNAcentral.
AAGCUUAGGUUAACGUAGACCAAGAGCCUUCAAAGCUUUAAGUAGGAGUUAAAAUCCCCUAGCUUC